This 873-nucleotide ribosomal RNA is filed under the name Tolypocladium sp. RNAcentral's name for it is "partial large subunit ribosomal RNA". It matches the Rfam family "Eukaryotic large subunit ribosomal RNA", at positions 56 to 967 of the family's 3401-position model. The record is from RNAcentral. Lineage: Eukaryota; Fungi; Ascomycota; Sordariomycetes; Hypocreales; Ophiocordycipitaceae.
GAACAACAGGGAUUGCCCCAGUAACGGCGAGUGAAGCGGCAACAGCUCAAAUUUGAAAUCUGGCCCCCAGGGCCCGAGUUGUAAUUUGCAGAGGAUGCUUUUGGCGCGGUGCCUUCCGAGUUCCCUGGAACGGGACGCCACAGAGGGUGAGAGCCCCGUCUGGUCGGACGCCAAGCCAGUGUAAAGCUCCUUCGACGAGUCGAGUAGUUUGGGAAUGCUGCUCUAAAUGGGAGGUAUAUGUCUUCUAAAGCUAAAUACCGGCCAGAGACCGAUAGCGCACAAGUAGAGUGAUCGAAAGAUGAAAAGCACUUUGAAAAGAGGGUUAAACAGUACGUGAAAUUGUUGAAAGGGAAGCGCUUGUGACCAGACUUGGGCCCGGUGAAUCAUCCAGCGUUCUCGCUGGUGCACUUCGCCGGGCUCAGGCCAGCAUCAGUUCGCCGCGGGGGACAAAAGCUUCGGGAACGUGGCUCCCUCGGGAGUGUUAUAGCCCGCUGCAUAAUACCCUGCGGUGGACUGAGGUUCGCGCUCCGCAAGGAUGCUGGCGUAAUGGUCAUCAGCGACCCGUCUUGAAACACGGACCAAGGAGUCGUCUUCGUAUGCGAGUGUUCGGGUGCCAAACCCCUACGCGUAAUGAAAGUGAACGCAGGUGAGAGCUUCGGCGCAUCAUCGACCGAUCCUGAUGUUCUCGGAUGGAUUUGAGUAAGAGCAUACGGGGCCGGACCCGAAAGAAGGUGAACUAUGCCUGUAUAGGGUGAAGCCAGAGGAAACUCUGGUGGAGGCUCGCAGCGGUUCUGACGUGCAAAUCGAUCGUCAAAUAUGGGCAUGGGGGCGAAAGACUAAUCGAACCUUCUAGUAGCUGGUUUCCGCCGAUUU